AGUCGAACGGCAGCGCGGGGCAACCUGGCGGCGAGUGGCGAACGGGUGAGUAAUAUAUCGGAACGUACCCUGGAGUGGGGGAUAACGUAGCGAAAGUUACGCUAAUACCGCAUACGAUCUAAGGAUGAAAGUGGGGGAUUCGCAAGAACCUCAUGCUCCUGGAGCGGCCGAUAUCUGAUUAGCUAGUUGGUGGGGUAAAGGCUCACCAAGGCUUCGAUCAGUAGCUGGUCUGAGAGGACGACCAGCCACACUGGAACUGAGACACGGUCCAGACUCCUACGGGAGGCAGCAGUGGGGAAUUUUGGACAAUGGGCGCAAGCCUGAUCCAGCAAUGCCGCGUGAGUGAAGAAGGCCUUCGGGUUGUAAAGCUCUUUUGUCAGGGAAGAAACGGUGAAGGCUAAUAUCCUUUGCUAAUGACGGUACCUGAAGAAUAAGCACCGGCUAACUACGUGCCAGCAGCCGCGGUAAUACGUAGGGUGCAAGCGUUAAUCGGAAUUACUAGGCGUAAAGCGUGCGCAGGCGGUUUUGUAAGUUUGUCGUGAAAGCCCCGGGCUCAACCUGGGAAUUGCGAUGAAGACUGCAAGGCUUGAAUCUGGCAGAGGGGGGUAGAAUUCCACGUGUAGCAGUGAAAUGCGUAGAGAUGUGGAGGAACACCGAUGGCGAAGGCAGCCCCCUGGGUCAAGAUUGACGCUCAUGCACGAAAGCGUGGGGAGCAAACAGGAUUAGAUACCCUGGUAGUCCACGCCCUAAACGAUGUCUACUAGUUGUCGGGUUUUAAUUAACUUGGUAACGCAGCUAACGCGUGAAGUAGACCGCCUGGGGAGUACGGUCGCAAGAUUAAAACUCAAAGGAAUUGAC
Molecule: ribosomal RNA, 858 nt
Filed under: uncultured bacterium
Lineage: Bacteria
Description: bacterial SSU rRNA
Rfam family: Bacterial small subunit ribosomal RNA
Source: RNAcentral